This 298-nucleotide signal recognition particle RNA is filed under the name Cebus imitator (Panamanian white-faced capuchin). RNAcentral's name for it is "Metazoan signal recognition particle RNA (ENSCCAG00000006897.1)". It matches the Rfam family "Metazoan signal recognition particle RNA". From Rfam's summary of the family: The signal recognition particle (SRP) is a universally conserved ribonucleoprotein. It is involved in the co-translational targeting of proteins to membranes. The eukaryotic SRP consists of a 300-nucleotide 7S RNA and six proteins: SRPs 72, 68, 54, 19, 14, and 9. Lineage: Eukaryota; Metazoa; Chordata; Mammalia; Primates; Cebidae. The record is from RNAcentral.
GCUGGGCGUGGUGGCGUGUGCCUGUAGUCCCAGAUAUUCAGGAUGCUGAGGCUGGAGGAUCUCUUGAGCCCAGGAGUUCUGGGCUGUAGUGCGCUAUGCCAAUCGGUGUCCACAUUAAGUUCGGCAUCAAUAUGGUGACCUCCCGGGAGUGGGGGACCACAAGGUUGCCUAAGGAGGGGUGAACUGGCCCAGGUCGGAAGUGGAGCAGGUCAAAAUUCCCGUGCUGUUCAGUAGUGGGAUCGCGCCUGUGAACAGCCACUGCACUCCAGCCUGGGCAACAUAGCGAGACCCUGUCUCU